AUGGACACGAAGCAGAUUCUGAUUGUUCCGCCGAAGGUAUCGGUUCUUUCUGUCAGCGAAUCCUUUAAACCGCGAAAAAUCUCGGUUCUACACAAGGUGAAAGGAACAAAUGGGAAGGAUUCGGUGACGCAAUGGCCUCUUGAAUUAACGAUUGCGGAAGAACAAAGUGUAACAAUGAACUGUAAUUACACUGGCGAUCCUACAUAUAUUUUUUGGUACAUUCAGCAUCGGGUGGAAUCUCCAAGAUAUUUGCUGACGGUAUAUAGCACUGGGAUAAUGGACCGGAAUCCAGCGAGGUUUACCGCUGGUUGGCAGCGUGACAGCAAGGCAGCCCAUUUGAACAUCUCUGGUGCUCUUGUGUCGGAUUCCGCCGUUUAUCUUUGUGCCAUGAUGCCCACAGUGUUGCAAGGCGAUGCCGGCUCUGGACAAAAUCCGAACUCCGUGAUGCAGUGA
Non-coding RNA from Mobula hypostoma (lesser devil ray), 453 nucleotides. NCBI's taxonomy places the organism in Eukaryota, Metazoa, Chordata, Chondrichthyes, Myliobatiformes, Myliobatidae. The record is from the annotation of a RefSeq genome assembly.